Molecule: long non-coding RNA, 1014 nt
Organism: Lycium ferocissimum
Lineage: Eukaryota; Viridiplantae; Streptophyta; Magnoliopsida; Solanales; Solanaceae
Exons: 7
Source: RefSeq, a predicted model, not a curated record
AGUUAUUUCGAUUUUGUCUUUCAUUCCAUUUUAGCGUUCUGAGGAGCUAAAUUUAUGGAUGUUGAGUCUAGCCAUGUGCUCUAUUUGGAAGGAGUCACUAUUACUGAAGAAACAUUGUCUAAGGAAGCCUAGCCUACUAUCCCAAAAGAGGAGAGGGGAGACGAGAAGAAUGUGAAUGCAAAAGGAAAGGUAAAAGUUCCGAGCUCUGUUUGUUGGAGAACUGAAAAUCUAAAACUAUAGAUUGGCUGCAACGAUGUCACUUUCUGCAUUCACAGACAGGGAAAGAACUAAAAGAGGACAAAGCUUUGUUUGCUUUUCGGAAAUCUUUGGUAGACUUACAAACUACGGCCCGUGAAAGAGGUUGAUGUGAAGAACCAUUGGAGUGAUUUAUGUAACGACAUCAAGUUAGCCACAAAAGGUGUAAGGGAAGCAGCUUGAAAUACUUUAGCUGGUCAUAGUAGUUCCAGAAGAAUUUAAGAUUGUGCCUAAAGUAAUCAAGAAGUUGGAGAUUUCAUCUUUAUGCAAGAAUAUGAAGUCAAGUAAAUUUUGGAUGAACUCAAGGAUACUGCCUGAAAAAUCAAGGAAAUAAAGUAUCUACUCACUUGCUUAAAGACUUUUUGUCUUGUACAUAGACGUUUCAAUGACCUCAAAAGUCAUGGAACAAAGCAUAAUGUCAUCUUCAGCUGGAAUGUCGGUUCUCUAUGUUCUAAUUGCUGAUUGACCUAUUUUUCUUCGAUUGACCCGAUUUGACUUUUGUUUGCGAGGUAGCUUUUUUCCUUAUAAGAGAUGGAGCACAUGUGGAUGAUGAGGAGCACAAGAAAGGAUGCAGGGUGCUUGAACAAGCUUUAGAUGAGCCUAGCAUUAGUUGAUGCUUGUAAGACAAUGCUCGGAUGUAAAACCACCUGGUGUCAUUAGGCACUUAAGAUAUUCAAGGCAUACCUAAAUACGUGUGCUCAAAUUUGUGAAGUUGGUUUGCUUUGAUGCUUCUUUAGUUCCUUGGUAAUUUUUUUGUUA